AUAAUAGAAAAGGAUACUACAUUUAUCAGAAGGGAACUAAACCAAAACCUGAUCCUUCUGUGCUUCCAAUCAUAGAGAAGUCUAGAAGGCUGAUAAAUAUUAUGCCUGGUGGGAAGCCAAUAUCUGUGACUGACCAAGAAAUUGUCGAGAUGGUUCUCUUUCCAGUGGUGAAUGAGGCUUGUCGUGUUCUUGAUGAGGGAUGGUCGUCCGAGCAUCAGAUCUUGAUGUUGCAUAAGUUUUUGGAAUGAGCUUCCCCUCUUACAGGUUAGUCUUUGCAUUGUUCUUUAAAAUCUGCUUAAGUAUGUUAUCGUCCAUUGUCAAAUUCAAGCAGUCUUAUUUGAAAGAUUUAUGAUAUUUACUAAUAGAAGCAAAAACAUUGAGAACACAACCGUGAAGUAGAAACAUAUAGUAUAUCACACUAAUGCUAUUUACUACAAUAAACUAGACAAACAGACUUUUUUUUCUAGUCUCAAGAUACUGAUAAUGUAUUGCAAAGAUAGGCCAUC
Ipomoea nil (Japanese morning glory) is the source of this 506-nucleotide long non-coding RNA. RefSeq lists it as uncharacterized. The transcript has 3 exons. The record is from RefSeq and is a predicted model, not a curated record. Lineage: Eukaryota; Viridiplantae; Streptophyta; Magnoliopsida; Solanales; Convolvulaceae.